UACGAAGGGAGCUAGCGUUGUUCGGAAAUACUGGGCGUAAAGCGCACGUGGGCGGCGCAGCAAGUCGGGGGUGAAAUCCCGGGGCUCAACCCCGGAACUGCCCUUGAAACUGCAGUGCUAGAAUUCUGGAGAGGCGAGUGGAAUUCCGAGUGUAGAGGUGAAAUUCGUAGAUAUUCGGAAGAACACCAGUGGCGAAGGCGACUCGCUGGACAGACAUUGACGCUGAGGUGCGAAAGCGUGGGGAGCAAACAGG
Molecule: ribosomal RNA, 253 nt
Filed under: uncultured bacterium
Lineage: Bacteria
Description: partial 16S ribosomal RNA
Rfam family: Bacterial small subunit ribosomal RNA
Source: RNAcentral